GCAUCGAUGAAGAACGCAGCGAAACGCGAUAGGUAAUGUGAAUUGCAGAAUUCCGUGAAUCAUCGAAUCUUUGAACGCACCUUGCGCUCCAUGGCAUUCCGUGGAGCAUGCCUGUUUGAGUGCCGCGAAAUCUCCCACCCCUAGCGGUUGCCGCAAGGCGCCGCCGGGCGGCGGGGUUGGUUGGGUGCCGCUGCCUGGGCUUUGGCCCAGGCUCGCCCGAAAUGCAUGAGCGCUUAGCACUCGCACCGUCUCGAGGGAAGGCGGCGGAGCUGGCAUCUGCGCAUGGCAUGAUACGUCAUUUGCUGUGUGGCAGCCCAGCGACCCGAGAGUGUGUGUGCGCUACUACACGCCCUUUCAUUUCUGGUCUUAAAUCAGGUAGGAUCACCCGCUGAACUUAAGCAUAUCAAUAAGCGGAGGAA
This 419-nucleotide ribosomal RNA is filed under the name uncultured fungus. Its description in RNAcentral is "eukaryotic LSU rRNA". The stretch from base 1 to 125 matches the Rfam family "5.8S ribosomal RNA", at positions 30 to 154 of the family's 154-position model. The record is from RNAcentral. Lineage: Eukaryota; Fungi.